GUUGUAGUUCAGUGGCAGAGCAUCUGCUUUGCAUGCAGAAGGUCCAAAAUUCAAUCCCUGGCUUCUCCC
Non-coding RNA from Podarcis lilfordi (Lilford's wall lizard), 69 nucleotides. The record is from the annotation of a GenBank genome assembly. Lineage: Eukaryota; Metazoa; Chordata; Lepidosauria; Squamata; Lacertidae.